AGUCGAGCGAACGGACGAGAGUGCUUGCACUCUCUGAUGUUAGCGGCGGACGGGUGAGUAACACGUGGGUAACCUACCUAUAAGACUGGGAUAACUUCGGGAAACCGGAGCUAAUACCGGAUAAUAUUUAGCUUCGCAUGAAGCAAUAGUGAAAGACGGUUCUGCUGUCACUUAUAGAUGGACCCGCGGUGUAUUAGCUAGUUGGUGAGGUAACGGCUCACCAAGGCAACGAUACAUAGCCGACCUGAGAGGGUGAUCGGCCACACUGGGACUGAGACACGGCCCAGACUCCUACGGGAGGCAGCAGUAGGGAAUCUUCCGCAAUGGACGAAAGUCUGACGGAGCAACGCCGCGUGAGUGAAGAAGGUUUUCGGAUCGUAAAACUCUGUUGUAAGGGAAGAACAAGUACGUUAGUAACUGAACGUACCUUGACGGUACCUUACCAGAAAGCCACGGCUAACUACGUGCCAGCAGCCGCGGUAAUACGUAGGUGGCAAGCGUUAUCCGGAAUUAUUGGGCGUAAAGCGCGCGUAGGCGGUCUCUUAAGUCUGAUGUGAAAGCCCCCGGCUCAACCGGGGAGGGUCAUUGGAAACUGGGAGACUUGAGUGCAGAAGAGGAGAGUGGAAUUCCAUGUGUAGCGGUGAAAUGCGCAGAGAUAUGGAGGAACACCAGUGGCGAAGGCGGCUCUCUGGUCUGUAACUGACGCUGAGGUGCGAAAGCGUGGGGAUCAAACAGGAUUAGAUACCCUGGUAGUCCACGCCGUAAACGAUGAGUGCUAAGUGUUGGGGGGGUUUCCGCCC
Molecule: ribosomal RNA, 800 nt
Filed under: Macrococcoides caseolyticum
Lineage: Bacteria; Bacillati; Bacillota; Bacilli; Caryophanales; Staphylococcaceae
Description: bacterial SSU rRNA
Rfam family: Bacterial small subunit ribosomal RNA
Source: RNAcentral